Rhinopithecus roxellana (golden snub-nosed monkey) is the source of this 1823-nucleotide long non-coding RNA. RefSeq lists it as uncharacterized. The record is from RefSeq and is a predicted model, not a curated record. NCBI's taxonomy places the organism in Eukaryota, Metazoa, Chordata, Mammalia, Primates, Cercopithecidae. The transcript is spliced from 2 exons.
AGUGCGGAGGGGGUGGUUCCAGGCUCACUUCACAGUGGUGCUUGGGGAGCUGCAGUAUUUUGACAACACCGAGGGAAGAGAGUCAGGUCAGUGGGGUUCAUAACUGAGAUGAUGAGAAUGGGGUCUACACCAGCCGCGGAGACCCCUGGGGUCUGGCCCCAGCAGGAGAUGUCCAAGUGGCAGAAAGCCCCUUCCUGCCUGGAGAGCACCCCCGUGAGGACUCUGGGCACCACUGGGCCGCAGCUGCUCCCUCCCAGUCACUCACCACACUUCUCUCUCCCGCCCACCCUCCAACCUGCCUGCAAAUUCCCCUGCAACCCAACUCUGGUCUCCUCCCAACCCUGCCCCCACGUAGGCCUAUUUUUUCUUUUUCACUUCUUCCCCCCAGUGACUUCCUUCUACAGUGUUGAUUCAGCUCCCUUUGCAGGCGAGUGAGGCCCUUUGCAGGCGGGGGCGGGGGCGGGGGCGGGGGAGAGGGCUGCAGGCAGUGCUGGUGGAGGGGAGGAGGUGACACACACUCCCUAGAGGCUAGUGGGGAGGGCAUGGGGCAGGAAAUGGAGUUGGGUGCCCCAGGUGGGCUGCUCCAACGAGCUCUUUCUCAUGGGAUCCUCCACAGAUUCAUACAACAGGCUGAACACCAGGGCUGGUCUCAGGCCACCUGACGGGGUUCACUGCAGAAAUGGAGAUCUGCCCUGGGCAGCCAGGGGAAAACCAGAGGAGAAGAAACUGUAAUUCCAGUCCGUCCACAUGGCCUAGCAGUGAACAACAGUUCCACGGUCAGAGCAAAAGCACCAAGCCGAUUGAAAGCAUCUCGAAUGCGGUGGGGCAAUGGGAGGUAAUGCCCUCAUCUACCAAAACGAGGUCUGCCACCUUCACAGACCACUAAACCUCAUUCCUCCACCCACCUCCGCACCCCACGAAGGCUGGUUGACCAGAGAGCAGGGCUCCCGAGUGUCGGGUUGGGUCAGAUCGGGUGGGUGCCCUUUACCCCAACCGAGGCCCUGUCCCGGACUGGGGGUCCACUUGCCCUCAAAGCAUGCCAGUCUUCUUUCCGAUACUUGACAUUUUUCCUUUCCUGUUCAAUUCAUGGUUUCCGCCCGAAUGGAGCCACGAGAGGACUCCUUUGGGGAUGUGUCUCCCAGAAAAGUCUGGGCAGCCUUCAUCAUCCUGGAUUCCUGUGACUUGGUUUCCAUGGGGGCUUUCUAAGCUCAGGGACCCCAAGCCUCCAUCAAAUCUAAUGACCCGCCCUGUCUCUGAACACAUCUGUGUUGUCUCUGAGCCCCUUACCAACCCCCUCCGCAACCCCGCCCACACAUUUCCCAUCCUGAAGGGUCCAGUCCUUAGGCCGGCCCAUGUGUUCCCUUUACCCCUGCUUCGUCCCUACCUGGUGGGGAGCUGUCCCUUCUGGGCCCUAGUGUGACACUUCACACACCAAUGUGUCCCGUGGGUGGUAUCUGGGGCCUUCCCCUGCAGUGAGGGGGAUGACCUAUGCACAGAGCUCACUGGGCCUGGGUAUGGGCCUGGGUGGCACAGAACACAGAGAAAGUGCUCCGUAAAAGUGAGCUGAGAUGCCCCCGCUAGGGAGGAGCUGGGCAAGCUCUUCCCUGGAGGAGGAAGAGCUCUCAACCCAGAGGGAUCUGACCAGAAAGGUUCACUCGCCUCCACCCAGGAAGCCCCUGCAGACAGUAUGUGUUUUAGGCUUUGCUGGCCAAAUGGUCUCUGCCACGACUUCUCAGCUCUGCCAUUGUGGCUGCAGAGUGGCCAUAGACCUUCUGAAAGUGAAUGAGUAUGACUGUUUUCCAAUAAAACUUCAUUGACAAAAA